UGGGGAAUUUUGGACAAUGGGCGAAAGCCUGAUCCAGCAAUGCCGCGUGUGUGAAGAAGGCCUUCGGGUUGUAAAGCACUUUUGUCCGGAAAGAAAUCCUUGGCUCUAAUACAGUCGGGGGAUGACGGUACCGGAAGAAUAAGCACCGGCUAACUACGUGCCAGCAGCCGCGGUAAUACGUAGGGUGCAAGCGUUAAUCGGAAUUACUGGGCGUAAAGCGUGCGCAGGCGGUUUGCUAAGACCGAUGUGAAAUCCCCGGGCUCAACCUGGGAACUGCAUUGGUGACUGGCAGGCUAGAGUAUGGCAGAGGGGGGUAGAAUUCCACGUGUAGCAGUGAAAUGCGUAGAGAUGUGGAGGAAUACCGAUGGCGAAGGCAGCCCCCUGGGCCAAUACUGACGCUCAUGCACGAAAGCGUGGGGAGCAAAACAGGAUUAGAUACCCUGGUAGUCCACGCCCUAAAACGAUGUCAACUAGUUGUUGGGGAUUCAUUUCCUUAGUAACGUAGCUAACGCGUGAAGUUGACCGCCUGGGGAGUACGGUCGCAAGAUUAAAACUCAAAGGAAUUGA
Molecule: ribosomal RNA, 567 nt
Filed under: uncultured bacterium
Lineage: Bacteria
Description: partial 16S ribosomal RNA
Rfam family: Bacterial small subunit ribosomal RNA
Source: RNAcentral